Molecule: ribosomal RNA, 497 nt
Filed under: uncultured bacterium
Lineage: Bacteria
Description: partial 16S ribosomal RNA
Rfam family: Bacterial small subunit ribosomal RNA
Source: RNAcentral
GAUGAACGCUGGCGGCGUGCCUAAUACAUGCAAGUCGAGCGAACAGACGAGGAGCUUGCUCCUCUGACGUUAGCGGCGGACGGGUGAGUAACACGUGGAUAACCUACCUAUAAGACUGGGAUAACUUCGGGAAACCGGAGCUAAUACCGGAUAAUAUAUUGAACCGCAUGGUUCAAUAGUGAAAGACGGUUUUGCUGUCACUUAUAGAUGGAUCCGCGCCGCAUUAGCUGGUUGGUAAGGUAACGGCUUACCAAGGCAACGAUGCGUAGCCGACCUGAGGGGGUGAUCGGCCACACUGGAACUGAGCCACGGUCCAGACUCCUACGGGAGGCAGCAGUAGGGAAUCUUCCGCAAUGGGCGAAAGCCUGACGGAGCAACGCCGCGUGAGUGAUGAAGGUCUUCGGAUCGUAAAACUCUGUUAUUAGGGAAGAACAAAUGUGUAAGUAACUAUGCACGUCUUGACGGUACCUAAUCAGAAAGCCACGGCUAACUACGUG